RNAcentral lists this ribosomal RNA (264 nucleotides) under uncultured bacterium. Its description in RNAcentral is "partial 16S ribosomal RNA". It matches the Rfam family "Bacterial small subunit ribosomal RNA", at positions 337 to 618 of the family's 1533-position model. The record is from RNAcentral.
CCCUACGGGGGGCAGCAGUGGGGAAUAUUGGGCAAUGGGCGCAAGCCUUACCCAGCAAUACCGCGUGGGUGAAGGAGUACUUCGGUACGUAAAGCCCUAUCAGCAGGAAAGAAAAUGACGGUACCUGACUAAGAAGCCCCGGCUAACUACGUGCCAGCAGCCGCGGUAAUACGUAGGGGGCAAGCGUUAUCCGGAUUUACUGGGUGUAAAGGGAGCGUAGACGGCAGUGCAAGUCCGGAGUGAAAGCCCGGGGCUCAACCCUGG